Long non-coding RNA from Onychostoma macrolepis, 558 nucleotides. RefSeq lists it as uncharacterized. NCBI's taxonomy places the organism in Eukaryota, Metazoa, Chordata, Actinopteri, Cypriniformes, Cyprinidae. The record is from RefSeq and is a predicted model, not a curated record. The transcript is spliced from 3 exons.
UCUCAGUCUUUAUUAGCUACACCUGUGUCCACAGCUUGCCCUUUUUGUUGCAUGUGUUUACACAGUGCAGAGGAUUGAGUUUUACUCCUUUCUGUGUUUUUUCUUGCGUGUGCGUAAUUGACCAUAAACCACACGCACACCCACACAUCUAGAUGCACAAGACCUCCUUGGAUGUACAAUAAACUUUCCUAUACCUGGUUUGACUAGACUGGACCUGUUCUUACCGACAGCCCCACUGGCUUCAAGCUAGCUACCCAACACCUGGCACUUCUUGGGCAUCAAUCCACAGAGGCAGAUAGGACAUAUCAACCAGCAAGUCUGUACACUAAUCAGGAAACUCAUUGAGUUCGAAUGGAUGUCAAUCUAGUGUAUAAGCAAUGUUCCAACGCCAAAAUGGACAAACUCAACUCUGGCUUUGUGUUAAGCUAGAUGUAGUCAUGCAGUAAGAUGAUCACUGAAUAUGUUCUAUAGUGUGUUCUGGUUCAGUGGAGAGAAGCAUGACCAUCUGAACCUCGUUGCUGGAAAGUUUAGACAGAAUUUAUUAAACUGCAAAAUAAA